AACGAACGCUGGCGGCAGGCCUAACACAUGCAAGUCGAGCGAGGACUUCGGUUCUAGCGGCGGACGGGUGAGUAACGCGUGGGAAUGUGCCCUUCUCUACGGAAUAGCCCUGGGAAACUGGGAGUAAUACCGUAUACGCCCUAUUGGGGAAAGAUUUAUCGGAGAAGGAUCAGCCCGCGUUGGAUUAGGUAGUUGGUGGGGUAAUGGCCUACCAAGCCGACGAUCCAUAGCUGGUUUGAGAGGAUGAUCAGCCACACUGGGACUGAGACACGGCCCAGACUCCUACGGGAGGCAGCAGGGGGGAAUCUUAGACAAGGGGGGGAACCCUGAUCUAGCCAGGCCGCGUGAGUGAUGAAGGCCUUAGGGUUGUAAAGCUCUUUCAGCGGGGAAGAUAUGACGGUACCAGCAGAAGAAGCCCCGGCUAACUCCGUG
Molecule: ribosomal RNA, 432 nt
Filed under: uncultured bacterium
Lineage: Bacteria
Description: partial 16S ribosomal RNA
Rfam family: Bacterial small subunit ribosomal RNA
Source: RNAcentral